Molecule: ribosomal RNA, 253 nt
Filed under: uncultured bacterium
Lineage: Bacteria
Description: partial 16S ribosomal RNA
Rfam family: Bacterial small subunit ribosomal RNA
Source: RNAcentral
UACGUAGGGUGCAAGCGUUAAUCGGAAUUACUGGGCGUAAAGCGUGCGCAGGCGGUUAUAUAAGACAGAUGUGAAAUCCCCGGGCUCAACCUGGGAACUGCAUUUGUGACUGUAUAGCUAGAGUACGGCAGAGGGGGAUGGAAUUCCGCGUGUAGCAGUGAAAUGCGUAGAUAUGCGGAGGAACACCGAUGGCGAAGGCAAUCCCCUGGACCUGUACUGACGCUCAUGCACGAAAGCGUGGGGAGCAAACAGG